UAUCGCCGAACCCGAACUGGUCUUCCCCGACUUUUCUCCCUUCUUCUCUCGCGGACGAACCGAAGCUGACGGAUCUUCAUCGAUCGUCGACAUCGCCGGAGGAGCACGUCGUCGGAGCUUGCCGGAGAUCAAUCAAGGAGGCCUGUAUCAUCUUGAUCUCCUCUUCUCAACCCUUCCCCGAGCAUUUCUUCCGCAGUUGCCGGCUCCUCUUCCCCGACGCCGACACCAAGGGAGAUGAUCGCCGGCGUGAAGAGGCAAUUAGGGCUCCGAGGGUAAGCUAGCUUCGAUUCCUCUUCUCUGGAUGUUCUCCGAUCUGUGCCCUAGCACGGUCUGCGAUUCCCCGAUCGACGCCAUUGGAUUGAUCCGUGCCAUCCGAUCGCCGGCGUGGAAAGGGCGAUUAGGGCUUCAAGGAUCUUGGACUUUUCCGUUUCUUGGUGUGAUUGAGCUCACGGUUGAAGUGAGGUGAGGUGAGGUUCUGUUCUUGCUGUGGAGUUGUUCUUGAUUCCGACAACACUUCAACCAGUAGCUUCUCUGGUUCCAGCAAUCAACAGCAGCUGGAUUGAGGAAAUAUGGCUGGAAAAAAAUUUGAGCUAACUCGUUACAAGUCAUGUGUAUCAGACAUUAUUACAAAUUUCACAAACUUGCAAGAGACUCUAAAGGGAUAUGGUGCAGAGAAGAAUCAAUAUUUACACAACAUUCAGAAAUGUAAAGAAAUAAAGAGAGAGAAUAAAACAAAGCUGGAGGAAAUUGAGAAAGAAAUUCAGUUAAUAUUGAAGGAAGUCCAAAAAGAGAAUGAGAUAUUGUCAAACAUGAUACAAACUGCAAAUGAUACAUUCAGAGAGAUAAAUUCAAUGAACAAAGAAGUUGAAGCUCAGGUUCUCACUGAAGAAAGAGAUGAAGAAAGAAGUGGGCGAAAGAGAAAAAAGAGGAGGAGGAGGAAUGAUUACGAAGCAGUUAUUGAAUAACAAUUUUAAAUUUUAGAUUACUUUGGUCUAUUUUGGUGACUACUCUUUUAGAUUUUAGAUUACUUUGGUCUAUUUUGGUGACUACUCUUUUAGAUUUUAGAUUACUUUGGUCUAUUUUGGUGACUACUCUUUUAGAUUUUAGAUUACUUUGGUCUAUUUUGGUGACUACUCUUUACAAGUGGACUUUCUAUAUAGUUAAAAACCUAUAAAUACCAUUGAAGGAUGGAGGUGGUCAGUCAUAGGUAA
Molecule: long non-coding RNA, 1211 nt
Organism: Zingiber officinale
Lineage: Eukaryota; Viridiplantae; Streptophyta; Magnoliopsida; Zingiberales; Zingiberaceae
Exons: 4
Source: RefSeq, a predicted model, not a curated record